RNAcentral lists this unclassified non-coding RNA (575 nucleotides) under Hevea brasiliensis (rubber tree). Lineage: Eukaryota; Viridiplantae; Streptophyta; Magnoliopsida; Malpighiales; Euphorbiaceae. The record is from RNAcentral.
ACCUCGGGGUAGAAAGGCACAACAUUGGUUUGGACCCAUUGAUCGGAGAGAUAUUGGCUUUUGGAGAUGUUGGCAAUGAUUUCGUUUGGCACCAUGAUGGAGACUACGAUGUCGGUGUUCUUGAGGGCAUUAAGGAUAUCUGGGUCGGCAUUGUAGAUUUUGACGCGUUUGGCUCCGAGAGAUUUGACGAGCUCCACUGACUGCGGAGGUGAUGGGAGCUUGUUUCCCAAUCCGCCCCAGUUGAUUCCCACCUUGUUCGAGAUCUCUGCUCUGCAAGUGGAAACAAAGAAAGCAAAAAUGAAGAGAGGAAGAAAACCCUUCUCCAUUGUUGCUCUCUUGAGGUUAAUCUAGUGGGUGUGAUUUGUAAUGCAGAAAGGAAGGAUUUUGAUUUUCUUGAUUAAAGAAUGGAGGGGGCAGUUGAGGUAGUGCGGUGACCAAUUCUUAUGUAUCAAAGGCUGAGUAUUUUACUCGUUGCUGUAAUACAGGAAAAUGGGAAUAAGAAUAUAUCACUUCUUUAAUGUCAGCUUCUUUAGCUCUGUGACAAGCUAAAGGAAGGAAGAAAGAAGAAAAGAUAG